RNAcentral lists this long non-coding RNA (620 nucleotides) under Rattus norvegicus (Norway rat). RNAcentral describes it as "long non-coding RNA NONRATT012901". Lineage: Eukaryota; Metazoa; Chordata; Mammalia; Rodentia; Muridae. The record is from RNAcentral.
CCUACCCCUUCCAGAUGCUUAGCAUCAACAGCGGUUACUUUGAGAGCCCGGGGACCAUAAACUUCCUGCUUGUGUGCCAAUUGAAAGACAGAAAGGAAAGGAUGUGGGUAACAACAAGAUGUCGCUCAUAGAGGACCUGCUGCAUAGAGUUCUCCCACAGGUACAAGUGUGAUCACACGACUUGUUCAGCAUGUCCUUUGGAACUCACAUCACAGAUACUCCCUCUUGUACCUGACUUAAAUCAAGUGUAACCCUGACUUUGGUGAGAUGAAAUGAUUUCUGCAUUUCCACCGACAGAAUAUGUUGAUUGACAGCUAUGCUUCCAGCCUUGUUCGGAGAUUUGACAAAGGGAUGGAGUGGGGAUAGGGUAAACAGGAGACCAAGCAGGAAAUAACUUUAAUAGGUCACGUUUGUUGAGCAAGCACAAGGACUGAUUCACAUUUCUAAAAUCCACAUUUUGAAAGAGUUGGGUAGUGCUUCACUCUUGUAGUCUUAGCACUAUGGAGAUGGAGACAGGAAGAUGCCUGGGCCCACAGGCCAACCAGCCUAGCUUAUUUGGUAAGUUCCAGGCCAGUGAGAGACCCUGGGUCCAAAAAUGACAUGAUGACUCCUGGGGAGGA